Molecule: small RNA, 912 nt
Filed under: Histoplasma capsulatum
Lineage: Eukaryota; Fungi; Ascomycota; Eurotiomycetes; Onygenales; Ajellomycetaceae
Also listed under: 1 other name
Description: hypothetical RNA
Source: RNAcentral
CGUCUGGAACCACCCGCCGCGCUUCCUCGCGGGAUGCGGCAAGCAUCUCGCUCUCCGCGGUCGUGGUGUCAUCCUCAAUGCCGUUUUCAGCGAGCUGGAGGAAGGCAGCUGGAGUUAGAGUGGCGGCCAAUAGGAAAUAUUUUGUCUUGGGCCAGGUAUGUGGGCGGCGAGGGGAGUGGUAGCUCCGCCAUGGAAAGUAAUUGUGGUGAAGGGAUUUCCGGCCAUGGUGUUGACGACAUAACUGGCGUAUGAGGUGCGGGUGACCAGCGGAAGAGGGAGGAGGGAUUCCACCUAGCAGAGAGCGACAUAGUUGAGAUGUGGGUUUCGGACAGAGACGGCCCAGCCAAAGGGCCGUUCUCAUAUUAUCGCGAGUUAAGGCGGCUUCGUUUAGUGAUUGUCAUUAGUUCGUCCUGCCAAAUACCUUGUUAUGCUGUCAGUUGUUGCUGCUAUUAGUGUACUGCGAGUGUUGUUCGUGAUUCUGUCCAGCACUCUCAGCAUUGGAUAGAGGUUGGUAGUUGGUUUGGCUCGACGUCAUUAGUUUUCCCGAUACGAAGCUAAAUAUAUGGAUUCUGGCCUGGAAAGAAAAAGAGAAAAAAAAAAAAAAAAUUUACAGCGAAUUACACACCCAGCACAGCCAAAUAUCCGAUAAUUUCACAGCACUCAUAGCUAAUCCCGAUGGUCAAGAACAGUCAAAGUCGGAGGAGCUCCUCUAUGCACGUAGCUACCCUGCAUGGAUGCUUACAGCAGCAGUUACUCUUCGCUCGUCACACUCCAUGAAAUGUAAGUCCCCGAAGAAGCCAGCAAUUCCGUUGUUCACAUGCUAUCAUACAUUCAAUACUAGUAUACACAAACGCACAUGUAAAAUAUACAACAUCUCGUCCACAAGCCGAAUAGUAGACAAGAAACACCAAA